AUACGGAGGGUGCAAGCGUUGUUCGGAAUUAUUGGGCGUAAAGAGCGUGUAGGCGGUUCGGUAAGUCAGAUGUGAAAGCCCUGGGCUCAACCCAGGAAGUGCAUUUGAAACUGCCAGACUUGAGUACGGGAGAGGAGGGGGGAAUUCCCGGUGUAGAGGUGAAAUUCGUAGAUAUCGGGAGGAAUACCAGUGGCGAAGGCGCCCCUCUGGACCGAUACUGACGCUGAGACGCGAAAGCGUGGGGAGCAAACAGGAUUAGAUACCCGAGUAGUCC
RNAcentral lists this ribosomal RNA (274 nucleotides) under uncultured bacterium. RNAcentral's name for it is "partial 16S ribosomal RNA". It matches the Rfam family "Bacterial small subunit ribosomal RNA", at positions 523 to 796 of the family's 1533-position model. The record is from RNAcentral.